Long non-coding RNA from Polistes dominula (European paper wasp), 758 nucleotides. NCBI's taxonomy places the organism in Eukaryota, Metazoa, Arthropoda, Insecta, Hymenoptera, Vespidae. The record is from RefSeq and is a predicted model, not a curated record.
AUAGGAAUGUAAAAAGAUCAAUUUCAAUUUUGCGCGUUUUCUUUCCUUUAUUUCUCUCUUUCUCUUUCUUGAGUAACGUCGCGAGAGACAAGUCACGUGAUGUUACCAGAUGCACACACACACACGCAUGCAUACAAUACAAACCGCCAAUUUCACAUCUACAAUACAUAAGUACCAGUACUACGCUAGUAGAUUUUCUUUUUAUCGGAACAUUUCAGUGCAAUUCCAAUAUGUCUGGUGCAAUCUUAAGUAAGUUUUCUCUUUUUCGUUUGCCUUCAUAUCUGAUAUUCUUCAAACCGGUCGAAGAUAUUUACUUGAAAUAUUUCGAGGAGACUGUAUGCUAUUCGUUUGUUGAGGAACUCAUUAGCUUGCACUCGCUUAAUUCCUAGUUUAUGCGCAACGAUUCCAGUCAUGAAAACAUCUUCGAGUUUAAGAACAAAUUUCACCUUGGAACAAUAACUGUCUACCCAUUCCAAAAUUGAGAUUGUUUUAAGAGUUAGAUUUGAAUAAGAAUCUAAAAACUUUCCACGUAUUAUAUCACCAUAUAUCCUUUCUUCUUUUUCAAGUUUGUCUGAUUGCAGUUCUUGCUUCCACAUGCGUAGGUGCUGACAUUAUAAUAAUAACCAAGUCCAUUUCUUUGCCAAAAUCUGGACAUCUUUCUGGUAUAGAUUAAGCGAGGUGCUUACGGAAGACAAAACUUGAGAACUAGAUGACGUAGAAAGUGUAGUGAUAAUUGUUGCAGGAUUGCUUGCAUUAUG